GCACUCUUAGUUCAGUGGUAGAAUUCAAGCUUCCCAGUCCCAUAUGUGUAUGCUUGAGGCCCGGGUCCGAUUCCCGGAGGGUGCA
Tothia fuscella is the source of this 85-nucleotide non-coding RNA. NCBI's taxonomy places the organism in Eukaryota, Fungi, Ascomycota, Dothideomycetes, Venturiales, Cylindrosympodiaceae. The record is from the annotation of a GenBank genome assembly.